CCCGUGGUCGCCCUCGAAGCCCGGCCCCAGCGCCGGGCUUCGUCGUUUCUGCCCGCCGCGCAACCGGACGCAGCGGGCGGCGACCGGUGCGAAAGGCUCUGGGGUGCGCCCGCACGGCGUCCGGCCAACUUAAAGUUCGGUUGUGCCGGGUGCUGUCAUAACGCCAUCGUUCAGUGGCCUCGGUGAGCCCCCGCACCCCCAGUUCGCUGGGGCUUGCCUUUGGUGUAUCCCUUUUGCCCGGCCGCGUGCCG
Molecule: small RNA, 251 nt
Filed under: Pseudomonas aeruginosa PAK
Lineage: Bacteria; Pseudomonadati; Pseudomonadota; Gammaproteobacteria; Pseudomonadales; Pseudomonadaceae
Description: potential sRNA
Source: RNAcentral